CCCUGCAACUGCUGUAAUUGACACUUUAUAAAAAUGUAACUUUGAAGCAGUUGACUAGUACCCCGACUGAAUAAUUGAAGAAAUGUUUGCUGGGAUUGUGCUGGAGUGCUAGCAGCUGUGGCUGCUUUGAUAUUUAUAAGCGGGAUAAAUUUUUUUUUCCCUUUUAGGAAAAAAACCUUUCAGAGUCAUUUUAGUCCGGCUCCAUCAUCAAAGUUCAGGAUGGGGUAAUGGAAGCAAUGAAUUGGUUCUAGCUCUUUCCUGGAAGCAAGUAAACAUCUCAGCGAGUGACUUUUAGGCAACAUUAGGAUUUCUGUAAACAAAGGUAUUUAGAAAACCACACAUCUGCUAACGUAAUCUGAGCCAUAGUGCUCCAACUGAUGUGGAGUAACUUAAGGGGUUAGUUGAAGGUUGGGCAACCUGGAACUUUGUGUCCCUCCCAAGUGAUGUCAGUCUGGGGCGCCUACCUUCCCAGGAUGGAGCUGGGACCAGGGCGCAUGCUCAGACCCCCGCCGGGGUUGUCUAUCUGAGGUGGGUACCACCCACUUCCUUAGAGAGGUGGACGCCGGCUCUCUCCACCACAGACCCCGCUUAGGGGUGUUGCACAUUUCCCGUCUCCCACCGCGGAUGGCUCUCACUCAGAGACAGAAGUACAGAGAGGUAAAGACAGACAGAGAGAGGUCUUCCAGCUGCUGGUUCACUCCCCAGAUGGCCACAACGGCGGAGCUGCACCAAUCCGAAGUCAGGAGCCAGGAGCCUCCUCCGGGUCUCACAUGUGGAUGCAGGGGCCCAAAGGCUUGGACCAUCUUCGUGCCUUCCCAGGACAAAGCAGAGAGCUGGACAGGAAGAGGAGCAGCCGGGACCAGAACCGGCGCCCACAUGGGAUGCUGGCGCCUCAGGUAGAGUUAAGGACAGUGAGAGAGAGAGCCAUGGAGAGAAAGGUCUUCCUUCCGUGGUUCACUCCCCUAAUGGACGUUACGGCCGAGUCACAUAUUCUUUCUUCUGCAUCACCAGGUCUGUAAGUCUUUCCACUGUAUUUUGUAUUUGGGAGGCAGGCAGUGUGCUCUCUGUGCAUGGGGCCCGGGGCUAGGUGCGCACUCUGCCUCCCGCCUGUGCUGCAGGCUGGAGUCAAGCGUGGUCUGCAAGGUUCUCUCUGGGGCAGUAUCAGCAGUGCCAGGGGUUGCCGCAGGCUCCUUUCAUUUCUCAGAAGCUGGCGUCUCCUCCUGACUGCUGCAUGUAUGGUGCUCUGUGGGAGUGGGGGAGGGGAAGGGAGCAGGGGACUCCCUGCUCCACGCCUGGCAGGGCUGGGACCCAGUCAGCUCCCCAGGCUGCAGUCCAUGUCAGGGGUGACUGUGGAAUUCCUCUCAGCUGAAACUGAGCGCUGGGGAGUGCACACUCUCUUCCCACCUUGACUUGGUAAGAUGGUGGCUCAGAGCUGGCAAGCUGGCUGUGCUGCACGGCUUGCUGCAGCAGUGUCUGUCUCCUCUUGUCCCGGGGAAUCUUCACUGUGUUGUCACUUCUCUGCAGAAAAUUUCCACCAGGCAGGCCCCUGGACAUGUCCUUCCUUUGUUCUUAUCCCACGCUAAAGUCAGUGUGGAUCGACCCUGUUGAGUCAUCUGGGAUCUCCCACCUCUGUGUUCCUUUUGGUUCCUGGUCUGUGAAAGGAAUAAUAAUAAUAAUAAUAGUAACAUGACCUCAUGGAGUUGUUGUGGAUGAAAAUGUGUUGGCUGUGUAUAUGUAAUGAGUUAAUCUAUGUGGGAUACUUUGAACAGUUCCUAAUGCACAGGGUAUGUUUAGUAAGUGGAGCAGCCAGGACUAGAACAGGCAUCCAUAUGGGAUGCCGGCGCCUCAGGCAGAAGAUUAACCUACUGCAUCACAGUAGGUGAUGAGUAACAUCCAUGGAAAGGGUAUGCAGGGUGGAUAGCCUGGCUACUGCUCAUGGGGCACACUGCCCACUCUUGCUCUCUGUGGGUGCCCAAAUCUGCUGAGUGCUGCCUUCCCCAAGAGUCUUCUGCGUUCACUUCAAUCACUUUUGUGUUUCCUUUCUGGUUGUACUUUAGUCAGCUCUUUGAUCCCUGAAACAGACUCUCAGGCAGAAAGGCAGAGGAGACUUUAAGCAGUGUUCUGGAACAUGUACCUGAUGGCACAGGGGAGGCUGCCAUUGAACUGGAACCUCUGUUGGUAUCCCAGACACUCUGGCAGCAAUGGCCUUUGACAUUGUCUCAUACUGAAGCAAAGGGGCUGGGUCUUGGGGCUGCAUCAUAUAGUUAUUGGCUCUGUGCCACCUCCAUAGAGGGCUUGUGAGCUUGGACCACAGAGAUCCCUUGAGGGAGUGGAGUCCAGUAAAGGGCCCAGCAUGAGCUUCCAACAGCCCAUGUCCUCAGCAUCUGGGCAAGGGAGGCAUCAGCUCUGCAGUGGGGACCUGAGUGGAGUAAGUGGUGUUCACUGUGCUUAAUUUAAUUCAUUCCUACUUAACGUGUCAGUGAAUGUAAAAAGAAAAAGUCAUUCCAAUAAAGAUGAAGUUAGGUGUCUUGGAAAGACUCACUAAAGUGAACUAAUGGCUAAGGAACAUGUAGCUAAAAACAUUGUGCAUAGGCAACUACAAACAACCAGGGAACAAAUGGAAAUGUCGGAAAGGACUUCUACUCACAUUUUUAUGAUUAUCUUUAAUACUUGUUCCAUUGGUCAGAUUUGACAUUUGUGUGCUGUAGUUGAUUCACGUGCUUGUGGUUUAUAAUGAAGGAUACCACGGAACUGUGCUCACCUAGCUCAUGAAAAGAUUGAAGAUAAAUGUGUGUGUUUUAUUUUAUAUUACAUAUAUGCAAAUCGUUUGAAUCAUAAUUUUCCUCUUUCCCAAACCUUUUAUUUUCCACCCUGUGAAUACAGUUCUGCAAGGACUUUUACAAGUUUCCAAGCCAGCUCAGUAAAUCUACAAAUCACAUUUUCACUGAUCAAAUUACAGAUGACUGUGUGGAACUGCUGGGGGGACCUGCCUACUCCCCCAGAUUCCUAGAAUGUGAUGUCAUUAUGCACGGGUGAACCUCCUCUUCAUCUGUGACCAUGAACUUGGUGUUUCUGGAACAUGGCUCGUGUAGACUGUCUCGUCUGCUUCUGCCUGGGACAUGGUUCCAGGGGCAACUGGAUGGUGUCCUUGUCUGGGCAACAAGGUGCAGAGCUGAGGUGCACUGUGCUCACACCACUGGAUAGACACUUUCUGUCUUCACAGCUCUGUGCUUCCCUGCUCAGCAGGUGCACCGAUUUUGUCACGGUCUAAGGCUGUCUCCCUCUCCCCUCCUGAUCUUCUUUGAUUUAAGGGUAAAGUUUUUUUUUUUUUUAAUUUACUAACUCAUUUAUUCAUUCAACGGAGUCUCUGACAGCUGGGUUCAAGUAUGGGUGCAGGUGUUUGGGCUUCUGUAGUGAUCAAAACAGAUGCAGUUGGCAGCCUUCUGGAGUUUCUGUUAAGUGGGUGGGAAGGGGAGAUGAGGCAUUGCUGAGAAGGGUUGGUUAUGCUCCUCCUCGUGCACAAAUGCUGUGGCACAGACCAGGGCUGAGCACUUGCACCCACUUUUUUGUUGGGGUUGGUGUUAGAGACAGUAGUAGAUGGAAUAAAACACACCUUCCCCUGUCCCUGUCUUCCCUGUAAAGAAUGGCUGUUGCUUCUUAUAGCAGAAGGAUUUUUGCAGAUGUGAUUAAAUUAAUGGUCUUUUUAUAAAUUUUAUUACCUUAAAAAUUUUAAUAUAAAAAGAACAUAUUUUGGGCCAGCACUGUGGCUCAGCAGGUGUUAACACCCUGGCCUGAAGCACUGGCAUCCCAUAUGGGCACCGGUUCUAGUCCCAGCUUCUCUGCUUCUGAUCUAGCCCCCUGCUAUGGCCUGGGAAGGCAGUAGAAGAUGGCUCAAGUCCUUGGGCCCCUGCACCCAUGUGGGAGACCCAGAGGAAGCUCCUGGCUUUGGUCUGGCCUCUCCUCUCUCUGUGUAACUCUUUCAAAUAAAAUAAAUCUAAAAAAAACCAAACCAGAUUUCAUGUAUUUCAGAGGUACAAUUCUAAGAAGAUAAGCAUACUUCCUCCGCUUCUUCCCUCAACCCCCCUCCUUCUUUCCAGUCUUUAAAAUUUUUUUUGCAAAAACAUAAUUUCAGUCUACUCUAUAAUCACAGGCUUAAUGCACCAUUAAUCAUAAUAUUCAAUAAGUAAAAAGUGUAAAGGCUACCGUUCCAUAGGAGAAUAAACUAAGGCUAAGACAAUCAAACACAAAGUGUCCUUUUUUUCCUAUACAUUUUUUUUGGUAUUCUUUCUAUAUUAACUACCACAUACCAGAGAAAACAUAGGGUAUUUGUCUUUUUGGGACUAAAAAUAUGGUGACAUUCUUCAAUGUUGUGGAAGGUCUUUAUUUCACCCUCAUUCAUAAAUGAGAGCUUUGCUGGGUAUAGUAUUCUGGUUUGAGUUUUUUUUCUCUUAGGACUUGGAAUAUAUCUCGUCAUUCUCUCUUAGCCUGUAGGAUUUCUUAAGGCUAAUUGGAGAUCCUCUGAAAGUAAUAUGGCAAUUCUCUUGUGCAUAUUUUAGAACUUUGUCUUUGUUUUACUGUGGAGAGCUUGACUAUAAUGUGUCGUGGUGAAGAUCUUUUAUGGUCAUGUCUGUUAGGAGUUCUGUUUGCUUCCUGUACUUGGAUGUCCCUUCUUUCUCUUGGUAGCAUCCCAUAAAUCUAACACUAUUUUUUAGUUUUUAAUUUCUUCUUCCUUUUUUUGGUCUGACUGUAAAAUUUCUAGAGAUUUGUCUUCUAACUUGGAUAUUCUUUUUUCUGCCUCACUAAGUCUGUUGUUAAGGCUUUCUGCCACAUUUUUUAUUUGUCUAUUGAAUUCUUCAUUUCCAAUAUUUCAUUUUAAUUUCUUUUUAAAAUCUCAAGUUUGUGGGAUAAACUUUCAUUCGGGUCAUGUAUGGAUUUCUUUAGUUCAUGAAUUUGCUUUUGAUUACUUCUAGGUAAUCCUGUGAUCAACUUUUUGAAAUCCAUAUCUGGAAUUGCAUCAAUCUCUUCAUCUUCACAUUCUAGUAUUGAAGUGUUGUGUUCUUUUGGGGGCAUCAUGUUGUCUUCCUUAUUCUUGUUUCUUGAAUUGCUGCAUUUAUUGUUAAGUGUCUAUGGUGAUACUUGUUCUCCCCACCCCCCCACUGGCUUUUAUGUUUGGACUAUGCCUCCAUGGCUUAGUGGAGUGUCUGCUCUUUCAGUGAAUACCCAGAGGCGUGUGUCAAAAAUCAAAUUUAACAGAUUUUUUUUUUUGAGGAACAAAAUACCAAAAUUUUAGGUAGAGGUAGGAUUGACAUUCCUGAUUUGCCUCUUCCAUUUUUUGUAGUUAAUAUUUUUUAAAAUUUUACCUUAGGUGUACAAAUUAAUGUAUUUCAUAUGUACAGAUUUAGGAACUUAGUCAUACUUUCCUCCCACUCCUCCCUCCCACUCAUGCUUCCACCCUUCCUCAACCUUCCUUUCCUGGUCCUACUCUUAAUUUUUACAAUGAUUUGCUUUUACUCUAUACUGAUAGGAUUAACCCUACACUAAGUAAAGAGUUCAACAAAUAAUAAGAAAAAACCCUGUUCCUUAACAGUAGAGACAAGGGCUGUAAAUAAUCAUCUAAUCUCAAAAUGUCCAUUUCACUCCAGUACAUUAUGUUUUAGGUACUCUAUUAAUUAUCCCUUAUCAGGGAAAACAUAUGAUGUCUGUCUUUUUGUGACUGGCUUAUUUCAUUAAAUAUAAUUAUUUCCAGUUGCAUCCAUUUUGUUGCAAAAGACAGGAUUUCUUUUUUUUUUUCCUUUACAGAGGUGUAGUACUCCAUAGUGUAUGAACACCACGAUAAUUUCUUUAGUCACCAGUUGAUGGACAUCUAGGUUGAUUCCAUAUCUUAGCUAUUGUGAACUGAGCUGCUAUAAACAUGAGGGUACAGAUAACUCUUUCAUAUGCUGAUUUAUUUUGGUUUGGGUAAACUCCCAGGAGUGGGAUGGCUAGGUCAUAUGGUAGGUCUAUAUUCAGAUUUCUGAGGUAUCUCCAUACUGUUUUCCACAGUGAGCUGCACCAGUUUACAUUUCCACCAACAGUAGAUUAGUUACCAUUAGGGUACCUCACCAGCAUUUAUUGUUUGACUUCUGUAUGAGAGCCAUUCUAACUAGGGUGAGAUAAAACCUCAUUGUGAUUUUGAUUUGCAUUUCUUUGAAGGCCAGUGAUCCUGAGCGUUUUUUCAACUGUCUGUUGGCCAUUUGAAUUUUCUUUUGAAAAAUGUCUGUUUAAAUCCUUUGUCCAUUUCUUAACUGGAUUGCUUGUUUUGCUGUUGUUGAAUUUGAGUUCUUUACAGAUCCUGGAUAUUAAUCCCUUGUCAGUUGCAUUGUUUGCAAAUAUUUUUUCCCAUUCUGUCAGUUGCCCCUUCAUUUUGCUGAGUGUUUGUUUUGCAGUGCAGAACUUUUUCAGGUUAAUGUAAUCCCAUUUGUCUAUUUUUGCUGUGGUUGCCUAUGCUUCUGCAGUUCUUUUUCAAGAAGCCCUUGCCUAUGCCAAUGUCCUUCAGAGUUUUCCUGUAGUAAUUUGAUGGUAUUAGAUAAUAUUUUGGUCCUUGAUCCAUUUUGAGUUGAUUUUUGUAUAAGGUGUAAGGUAGGGGUCUUAUUUCACAUCUCUGCAUGCAGAGAUCCAUUUUAUUUUUUUUAAUUUAUAUUUUAUUUUAUUUUAUUUAAUGAACAUAAAUUUCCAAAGUACAGCUUAUGGAUUAUAAUAGCUCCCCCCCCUUAA
Non-coding RNA from Oryctolagus cuniculus (rabbit), 6753 nucleotides. Lineage: Eukaryota; Metazoa; Chordata; Mammalia; Lagomorpha; Leporidae. The record is from RefSeq and is a predicted model, not a curated record.